GCACACACACGCCUCACUGGCACGCACAGAUAUCACCCAUCCACACGCGUUUUUUUUUCCCGCGAAUCGCAGGGCAUAUAAAGAGAGACGCCCCAUCGAGCUUCGCCGGCGCAUUCUCGCUUGUUUUUUUUUCGUUCCGUGUAGCUUGCGGAGACUCGAAAUGAGUGCCGCCGGAGAUCUAGUACCCGUCUCCGGAAAGGCAGCGACGGAUGCACAUGUUGCGCCCGCCACGGACAGGACACCUCAGCUGCCACAUGAGGCUACCGGCAGCCGGCUACCGGCGCAUCCCGUGCGCGAACGCUCCCUCCGCGGCCAUGGAGAUGCGCUAUACGGCUCAUCGCCUAAGCACGCGCCGCUGCAGACGCCUUCGUCUCCAAGAGGCCGUGACACUCCACAGGCAUCGCCCGCAGAAAAGGGGCACGGCCCUGCGUCUGUCUGUCAAGGGGAGGAGUUGGAGGCGGAGAGUGUCGUGUUUGCAGACGCACAGCACCGCCGCACGCGUUUCACGGAUGCCAGCGCGAGCGCCGCGCUGCUGGGCUGCGUUGACCUCGGCUUCGUGGAUGCGGAGCGUGUCGUAGAUGAGGAGAUGGACGUGGCGAGCCGAAGCAAGCUCGACGAGGCGAGCGGCGGCAGUAUCAAGGGCAAUGCCGUCUUCGAGGCGAGCGGCAGGCAUGAUGCCUGUGCUGUGGCAAACGUGCUGGCACCGACGCCAAAGAUCGAUGCCGCCGGAGGAAAUGUGGUUGAGGUCGACCACGGCGCCGCUGACAGCGACCACGGCUUCGAGUCUCGCUCAGAGCAGCCGCUGGCCUCGUGCUGUGUGGACACGCGUCGUUACCCCGACAGCUGGCGACAUACACGGCCGCGGCGCUAUGCCUUUGAGCGACCGCUGCACUCCUACCAGAUUGCCGGCCAGAUGUACUGCCUGGUGGUCAUCAUAUUGUUUUGGUCUAGCGUGUUUGCAGCCUACGUGCUGCUCUACACCCAGGACAAGCAGGACUGCCUGGCUGAACUCGUGGCAUUCUCGACGCUCUUCGGAGCGGGCGUCGUGUGCGUGUACAUGUUCUUUUUCUGGCUCUCUUUCAAGGACUGCACGGACCGCAGCAACUCGGGUGAGCUGUGCAUGUUCUGCCGCCGUCGCACGCAUGUGGACUCCAAGCACUGCAAGGCGUGCAACAAGUGCGUGGAGGGAUUCGACCACCACUGCAAGUGGCUGAACGUGUGCGUCGGGAGGGAGAACUAUAUCGCUUUUUUCUGCUUCGUGAGCGGAAGCGUGUUCACCAGCUUCACAACUCUUGGCAGCGUCAUCUGCUUGCUUGCGCGGUGGUGGCAUGUGCUGGCGGAGCGCCACAGCGCCUACUUUCGCGCGGGCCCGGUUGUGCUGUGCAUCGUGCUCCUCGUCGGCAUCGUUCCCAUUGUGCACUUGUUCGGAUUUCACAUCUACUUGCAUUUUAUACUGAGGACGACAACGUAUCAGCACAUUGUAGGCAAGCGCGAGGAGACCUUCCAGAUCCCGGCCGAGGAGGCAGCCCCAAAGAAGACAAGCUGUUGCUGCUGCUAGAGUGUCGUGGACGACAGCCGCCACGACUCCUCUCGGGGCUGCCGGUGCCUCAGGGGGGGGGCGACUGGUCUGCCUCUCGCCGCGUGCUCAUGUAUGCAAAACAGAAAAAGUGCUCCAAACGCGUGCCUUUGCGGUGCAUUACGUCUCUCCCUCUUCCCUCUUUCUCUAUGUGCUUCAACGGUCUCUUCGCUUCUUUUUUUUUAUUUGAGUGUGUGUGCUUGCUUGCGGCAGCGGCGGCGAUGUUGUCUUCUCUGGCUGUUGGCUCAUGUGCACAGCGCCUUGUCCUUUCUGCGACUUGUGAUGCACGUUUAUGGCAUCUUUGGUGGGGCCCAUGUACAGACGAUAUGCGUGGGUAUCCGUGUCGACGAUGCUGAACGGCCCUUUCUCCCCCUACUCCCCUCUUUCUCCUCCGUUUCUUAUUAUUGCGACGAUAAUUGCCGUGCUGCCGUUGCCGCUCGAUGCUGUUUGUUGUCGUCCGUGGUGAAUGUCCUGCGCGAUUCGGCUGCUCACAUUCGCCGGGUGGUCGUUCUUCCUUUGUCGUCGCUCUUGUUCGUUUUGGUUCCCGUCCAUGUUCUUCUGGCUCCCCGCUGCCGCUGCUGAUGCGCUUCUUUCUCUCUCCUCGUCUUUGUAAAACUCAACGUUUUCUCUUCGUCUGUGUCGGGGUGCGCGCGCGUGUGCGUCUGUGAGUCAGCACGUAUGUAUACACAUGGCGCGUGUCGAGUGAUCUAUCGCCACACCCCUCCUCCUCCUCCUCGUUGGCGGUCGUUUGUGUGUGAGGUGCUUGGUGUUCUUAUUAGUAGUCGUAGCUCGUGCCGCACCGUGUCGCAUUCCUCCUCGUCCUUGACCAUCCUCUCCGCGACUCCUCUCAGGCGCCACUGGCGGCGCUUUCUUUCUUACAUCCGCUUGACCUCACUUCUUUUUCUUUUUUUGUGUGGUUGUGUGUGCUCUCCUCGUUUUCCCUUUCUCGCGCACGAGCGCCAAGACAAGCAUGUUUGCAUUACGCACGUACGGCGACAGCGGUAUUUGGCCGACCGCGCCUCCUGCACUGCCCGUUUUAUGGUCUCUCUCUCACACCCUCUGCUGCAAUCUUCGUUUUCCUCUGUGCUGGCUUGUAAUAUGUGCACCCCGAUGACGAGGGGACAACGCCCCGCAGGGCGUGGCGUCUCAGUGUGCAGCGCAGCAGCCCCACCUAUCCCUGCCAGUGCUCAACCGCUUCUCGUGGCGGCAGGGCGUGAGGUCCUGGACGGCGUUGCGUGGGGGAGGGGCGACCUGCCAGGGCGAACACGCUUCUGCGAUCGAUAUGGUGGGCAGAGCGUCGGCGUGACUCGAGCGUCUCCCACCCCCGGCCCUCACACUGUCUACUGACGUGGGGGUGCCUGAGUGCCACCCGCGAGGAGGAUGCACGACGUGGCGACCUGCCUGAUGGGGGAGCGGCUGUGAGGCGACAUGCGAGGCGGCGGAUUUGUAGAGUCUGGGGCAGAGGCCGUGCUGCGAUGACUGGGUCCGCAUCGCUGUAACGCGCGUGUCUAGGGCUGCUGCGCGCGACGUGAUGGGCGCCUGUGGGGCAGAACGAGCGCGUUGACGGAAAAGGUGGCUUGGCUCUUACUGUCUGGCCCACUGCCCUUUUCUCUCCCACCGCGGCACCGUCGCUGGUAGAGGCGUUUUUGUACACCAAACGCGACGCAG
This 3244-nucleotide unclassified non-coding RNA is filed under the name Leishmania donovani. RNAcentral describes it as "gene:LdHU3.11.1310(CDS-product:palmitoyl_acyltran sferase_7_putative)". Lineage: Eukaryota; Euglenozoa; Kinetoplastea; Trypanosomatida; Trypanosomatidae. The record is from RNAcentral.